Molecule: ribosomal RNA, 253 nt
Filed under: uncultured bacterium
Lineage: Bacteria
Description: partial 16S ribosomal RNA
Rfam family: Bacterial small subunit ribosomal RNA
Source: RNAcentral
UACAGAGGUCUCAAGCGUUGUUCGGAUUCAUUGGGCGUAAAGGGUGCGUAGGCGGAUCGCUAAGUCAGGGGUGAAAUCCUGGAGCUCAACUCCAGAACUGCCUUUGAUACUGGCGAUCUCGAGUCCGGGAGAGGUGAGUGGAACUGCGAGUGUAGAGGUGAAAUUCGUAGAUAUUCGCAAGAACACCAGUGGCGAAGGCGGCUCACUGGCCCGGUACUGACGCUGAGGUGCGAAAGCGUGGGGAGCAAACAGG